Molecule: RNA transcript, 6339 nt
Organism: Antechinus flavipes (yellow-footed antechinus)
Lineage: Eukaryota; Metazoa; Chordata; Mammalia; Dasyuromorphia; Dasyuridae
Gene: CSNK1A1
Gene name: casein kinase 1 alpha 1
Exons: 12
Source: RefSeq, a predicted model, not a curated record
CGUGAAGAAGCGGCUUCUGUGGGCUGGGGGCAUUUUGUGUCGGCUGUAGCCAAAGGAACAAGAUGGCGGCGUCGGCCGAGUGACCGUGGUCCUAGCGGGCGGGACCCGGCGGCGGCGCUAGCAGCAGGUGGGCUACGCCCACUUACUGCGCCUUUUUUGGUUCGGGAGGUUGCCCUGCACCCGUAGGGACCUUCUAACGGGGGUGGGAGACACCCGGGAAAAACUGCCCGGCCUGGAACCACUACCCUCCCUGGAGCCUGAGGAGGGUGAAGCCGGAACUCGGCGCGUCGGCGACGGCAGCUACAAGGCUCCCUCGGGACGCCUUAGCGUCGUCUUAACUUGGAGAAAGAGCCUCUUUUUGAAAUUUGUUUUUUUUGGGGAAAGUGCCACCAUCUCCGGUGUCUAAAAGGUCGCGCCUGGUGGGUGAGACCCGCCUGGUCCCGUCCCUUUCCCCCUUGGCCCCGGGACACCUAGGUCCCCGUAUCCCCCCUCCUCUUGCCAGGAUGGCGAGCAGCAGCGGCUCCAAGGCCGAAUUCAUUGUCGGAGGGAAAUAUAAACUGGUGCGGAAGAUCGGGUCCGGUUCCUUUGGGGACAUCUAUCUGGCCAUAAACAUCACCAACGGAGAGGAAGUGGCAGUGAAGCUAGAAUCUCAGAAGGCCAGGCAUCCCCAGUUGCUGUACGAGAGCAAACUCUAUAAGAUUCUUCAAGGUGGGGUUGGCAUUCCCCACAUACGGUGGUAUGGUCAAGAAAAAGACUAUAAUGUUCUAGUCAUGGAUCUUCUUGGACCGAGUCUUGAAGACCUCUUCAAUUUCUGUUCCCGCAGGUUCACAAUGAAAACAGUACUUAUGCUAGCUGACCAGAUGAUCAGUAGAAUUGAAUUUGUGCAUACAAAGAAUUUUAUACACAGAGACAUUAAACCAGAUAAUUUCCUAAUGGGUAUUGGGCGUCACUGUAAUAAGUGUUUAGAAUCUCCAGUGGGGAAGAGGAAAAGAAGCAUGACUGUUAGUACUUCUCAGGACCCAUCUUUCUCAGGAUUAAACCAGUUAUUCCUUAUUGACUUUGGUUUGGCCAAAAAGUACAGAGACAACAGAACAAGACAACAUAUACCAUACAGAGAAGAUAAAAAUCUCACUGGCACUGCCCGGUAUGCUAGCAUCAAUGCACACCUUGGCAUCGAGCAGAGUCGUCGUGAUGAUAUGGAGUCUCUAGGAUAUGUGUUGAUGUAUUUUAAUAGGACCAGCCUGCCCUGGCAAGGAUUAAAGGCUGCAACAAAAAAACAAAAGUAUGAAAAGAUUAGUGAAAAGAAGAUGUCUACUCCUGUUGAAGUUUUAUGUAAGGGGUUUCCAGCAGAAUUUGCCAUGUAUCUAAACUAUUGUCGUGGACUGCGUUUUGAAGAAGCACCAGAUUAUAUGUAUCUGAGGCAACUAUUUCGUAUUCUUUUCAGGACUCUGAACCACCAGUAUGACUACACAUUUGAUUGGACAAUGUUAAAGCAGAAAGCAGCCCAGCAGGCAGCCUCUUCCAGUGGGCAGGGUCAGCAGGCCCAAACCCCCACAGGCAAGCAAACUGACAAAACCAAGAGUAACAUGAAAGGAACAUGUCUGGUUACUCAGCAACAUAAUGCAAAUCACAGGCGAAGAUCUUGAAUGAAGAUCUGGAAGUGCUAAUCUACUCAGGAAAAAAAAAUCUCUUGAAUCUAAUGAGGUGUGCCAGAAGAACUGUGACUACCUACUGGAAUCUAGAAAAAUUGAACAAUAAAGUUGGAUUGCAAAGAAUUAAAAAUAAACCAGCAAGAAAGAAGAUAAAUGUCAAAGAAUCUAUUGUGAUUUGAACUCAUCUUUUCCAAAAACUCACCGAAUCGUUCAUACUCUUGGCAUUGCUAUAUUUCUGAGUAGCUCUAUAGCAAGUGAGAAGGCCUUGUGAAUACCUAACUGGAGUACGAUGUUGGGGUAACAGUGACGAUGUGGAGUAACUUCCAGUUGGGAGAGGAAUCAGUCCAACGAUUUAUCAGACAGAGAGUCUUCCUAUUGGGAGAGGAGUCAGUACAACAGAUUUGGGAAAAACUUCAAAAUAGAGAAAUAGCCAGAUGCAUACCACUGACGUCUGGAUUAUCUAUCACCUUAACUUCAAGCUCUGAUUUUACUGUUUCCAGGAGGGAAAGGAUUUAGCUCCUAGUUUAGCUGAAGUUUCUGUGAAGAUGGCAUCUUUAAACAACCUUUAUUUUUUGGAAGCCAGGAGGAUCCUGGCUUCAUCUGGACUGAAAGAUAAAAGCCAAGGAAUAAAGGAUUAUGCUAACUGGGAAAAGAAUUCAAGAGAGUAUUUAAUGCUUGGAAGAUGAGAUGCAAAGCCCAAAUGUUAUAUAUAUGGUGGAUAUGCGUAUUGGUUCUCCUUUCCUCCCCUAUCCUUCUCAUCUCCCUUCCCAUCCAAAUAAAUGUUUAUUGAGCUCCACUGAAAUCCUAGGAUAAUUUACUAGAGAAAUAAUCAUCCUUGGGUGGAGUAUCUUACUGUUGACCCUUUUGAAGAGUUGAAUCUGGAAUUAACUUGCCACUCCUUCUAACAACAUUGACCCAGUGGCCCCUUCUUAAAUAUUUAUCUCUCAAGAAAGUGGUUUAAUUUGCACAGACUAAUUUUCAAAAUAGAUCAGAUUAAAUGAACAGAAUUCUUGUAUAAUUAUAGCUUGCCAUGCUUUUAAGGGAAGCAAGAUUGGCCUACCUCUUUAUCCUCCCCCUCUUUAAAAAAAUGGAGCAACAUUUAACCCUUAAAACACUGCAAAGUUAUUUUGUCAACAAAAGAAAGUAUAACCCCCUUUCUAGUUUAAUGUUAGAGUCUUGUUUAAAUAUAUAGAUUUCUUCACAUUUUCACAAGGCUUCUUUUUAAAAAUUUAUUGGUUAUAACAAAAUUUUCAAGAAUGACUGCAGGCUUUAUGAUUCAAAAAGAAAAUCCAUGCCAUUUCCAGUUAAUUAACUUGUAGUUUGGGGGCUGGCCAUGAAAGAAUUGGGUUCACCUUGAAUUGUACAGUUUCUAAUUCUUUGAAAUUAGGUCAUUAAGCAUGGCCAUUUUAAAUGUAUUAUUGGUUUGGGAAUUAAUCUACAGGCUUUAUUUUUUAAUAAUUCAUGUCUGGGUUAUCCCAAGUAAAUUCUUAAUUUAAAGAACAACAAAUUUUUGUAUGUACCAAUCAUACUGGUAAAGUACAUACAUUUCAAGUAGUAUAAGACACUAUUUCUUCCCUCAAUAAUCUUAAUAUAAAACACAUAAAAUUUUGGAUGGAUAAAUAGUUCCAGAGAUAGGUAGCAGUUAGAUACAUAACUGAUUAAGAGAUGUCACAUAGAAGCACAUGGUUGCUAAGCAAGUGAAUAGUAAGACAGAAAUUAGUAAGAGUGUAGAGGAAGGGUGAAUUUGAGGAAGAUUUCCUGGAAGAGGAGGUAGGGCCUAUGUAAAAAAUUUAUAAAUAAGCAGAAUGUUUACUUAAGUGUGAAGAAAGGGUUAAGGGCAGGAGUUGAUGAUGUUUUUCAAGUUAAGUGGAGGUAAGAGAUUAUUCUAUGGAGUUGUACAAAUUUAACAGUAAUAGGCAUUUGGGGUUUCCUUCCUUUCCCUUUCUUAGAAGUUCUAGUUUUAUUGUAUUGUGGAGAAAGUGUAAACUUUGUCUCUAUCCUCAUGCAAUGUUUUCAAAUGCUGGUGUCUGGAAAGAGUGCCAGAUCUUCUUUUUCCAUCAUUUCUUCUUAAUGCCAGCUUUUUUCUUUUAUGUGGAGCAAAUAACCACUAAGGUGAUAUUUGAUUGAUGUUUCACAGUGCUUCUUGCCUCACAGUUUCUUCUAGUAUAAAUAAAAAUAAUUGUAUGUUAUGAAAGUUUUUAGUAUUUCUAAACAUGAUUUUGGAAAAUGUGGGGUCUUUAUUUUUGCUAAAAUAGAUUUUUGAGUAUCACUGACAGUUGAUACAGCUUCUUUUAGUGGUCAUUUUUAAAGGCAAGUGAGACCUUUAAACAAAAAUGUUGGAAUUUAUUGCUUCUAAAAUAGAAUCUAAUUUGACUUCCAUAAAGUGUAUCAAGUAUAAAGAAAAAAAUUUUUUAUAAAGUGAAAAUCUAAGAACUUAAGAGGUAAUUCAAGUGUCAGUUGUUGAUCAAAAAAUAGCUGCACCUUUAGGCCAAGUGACAGGUUAGCUCGUUUACCUGGUUUGUUUGGCUUCUAGUGCUAGAAUAAAUUUUGUUUAGAGACAUAAAAGACGUAAAAAUCUGGUUCUUUGGUCAUUGUAAGAUUGGAGAAAUUCUUUAGGUAAUUAGUUAAAUUUAAGCAACGUGUUCAUAAUAGGUUUUGAAACUAACUAAUUGGAAGACCUAUGUUGUCCAACAAUCUUCAAGGAUGCAACCCAAACUUUCUUGACCAGAUCCCUUGGACCAAAUUCAAUGAGGGGAAAAAAAACAGAAAUUACAAGUAAUGAGUUUUUUUAUUUAUUAAAACUGAUUUAUUCCAGUUUGAUGAAAAGUAGCUAAUCUACAGUUCUUAGAGCAAUGUAUAAUUUAGGCUAAACCCUAAUCAAAAAAUCCCUUUGGUUUGAGGAUUGGCCACUACUAAACAAUUGUGUGUUGACCUCUGAGUAACUUUAAAGUAAAUUUGAAAAGCUAUAUAAAGCCACAAAAUUUAAUAUGCAAUAGAUAAAACAUCCCUCCAAUUAGAGCAGGGUAUUCUUAACUUUUAGAAUACAAGAGGGUCUCUCUAAUACUUAUUCGUGUGGCUCAUUUCCCCUGUUCUCAAUAUAUUUUCUUUUUUUUUCCAGUUUGAAUUAACUCUUGUUUUUCUUUUCUCUGUCUCUUUUGGGCAGGUUUCUAAACAUGAAGAGGAACAGAUGAAGCAGAGCAGAUGAUCAGAGCAGGACUUGUUACUCCCCAAAUCUAGAAAUUUUAGUUCAUAUGUACACGUACCAGUGGUUGUGGGCAACCAUUUAUUUGGUGUAAAGAACUUAAUUUCAGUAUAAACUGGCUCUGGUCAGCGUUGGUGAUGCUGCAUCCUGAGUUGUAGCCGCUGUAAUUGUGAAUAUUAACUGAGAUAGUGAAACAUGGUGUCCAGUUUUCUAUUGCAUUUUUUCAAGUGGAAAAGUUAACUAAAUGGUUGACACACAAGUGGUGGAGAAAUUGUGCAUAUGCCAAUUUUUUGUUACCUUUUUUUUUUUUUUUUGAACUACACUGCUUUGAGAUCUCGUUUCAGAAGAACGGCAUGAACAGUUUUCAACCACAGUUGUGAUAAUUGUAAAUGUUCACAAUUGUGUUUUUCCCCCCUUCCUAGGGUUUGAAAGUUGUAAACUUACACAUUCUUAAAAUUGUUGGCUUCUGUGUGCAAGUCAGCUGACAUGGUAGCAACCAAAGAUUCCAGUUUUUAAGCAUAUGAAAGACUCUGCCUGCUUACUGUGCUAGAAUUAAACAGCAUCUAAAAGUGAAGACAUAAGAAAAACUUAGUGACUACUAGAUUAUCUUUAGGACUCUGCAUUAACUCUAUAAUGUUCUUGGUAUAAAAAGAAAAACAUAUUCGUCACAGAAAUUUAGUUAACAUCUUACAACUAAACUUGUAUGUAAGUUGCUUAGAUCAAUGUAAUCACUGUAAACAUCUAUAUGACCUGGGAUUUUGUUUUUAUUUCGAAAUGGGAGCUUUUUUUGUUUACAAGUUCAUUAAAAACUAAAAAAAAAAUGUUUCUGUAAAAAAAUUUUUUUUAAAGAAAUGCCUGGCUAAUUCAUUGAUAGAAUCAACAUCUCCCCAAUUUUUUUUUAACAGACUACUUGAUGGCCAUUGUUAAGUCAUAUUCCUUUGCAAAUCAUUUUAGAUUUAGUGUUGUAUUUCUUCUUCUUUUUUUUUUUUUUAAAUAAAUUUUGUAUUUUUUUUUUCCUCAAGGGAGAAGGCAUUCUUAAUUUUUUUUUUUUAAGUUCUUGCAUCAAUGCCUAGUAGCGCAACUGCAGGACUGGUGUUGGUAGCUCUAGUGUUGCCAUUGACUAAACAGCUGGACUGAUUUGUGUUGUUCCUUUUGAAAAUAAGAAUGGAAGUGUUAAAGGGUUUUGCAAACAAAGGAGAUUUUCUUUCAAAUUCUUGUGAAGUGGCUAUGACCAGAUUGUUUCUUGUUCUUAGAUUGCCUCACACUGUGGUAUUCUGAUGAUUACUAUCCCUAGCCCUCCAAGGCAACCUGUGUGAGUGCAUUUUCCAGCUUAUUUGCGUGUUUUCUUUUUCACUUUAUCUGACCCAGCGGAAAGAAAAAAAAAAAAAAAACUGAUUGCUGGUAAUCCUUUAAACAGUGUAAUUUAUUCAUUUAUAUAGCAUGUCAGAAUAAAUUAAAAAAAAAUUGUCUGAAAAUGCUACCAGA